RNAcentral lists this ribosomal RNA (408 nucleotides) under uncultured rumen bacterium. RNAcentral describes it as "bacterial SSU rRNA". It matches the Rfam family "Bacterial small subunit ribosomal RNA", at positions 354 to 776 of the family's 1533-position model. The record is from RNAcentral.
GUGGGGAAUAUUGGGCAAUGGGCGAAAGCCUGACCCAGCGACGCCGCGUGAAGGAAGAAGAUCUUCGGAUUGUAAACUUCUGUCAACAGGGACGAAGGAAGUGACGGUACCUGUGGAGGAAGCCACGGCUAACUACGUGCCAGCAGCCGCGGUAAUACGUAGGUGGCGAGCGUUAUCCGGAUUUACUGGGUGUAAAGGGUGUGUAGGCGGACGUACCAGUCAGAUGUGAAAAGCCACGGCUCAACCGUGGUCCUGCAUUUGAAACUGUACGCCUUGAGAGUGGGAGAGGUAAGCGGAAUUCCCGGUGUAGCGGUGAAAUGCGUAGAGAUCGGGAGGAACACCAGUGGCGAAGGCGGCUUACUGGACCACAACUGACGCUGAGACACGAAAGCGUGGGGAGCAAACAGG